AGGGGAAGAGAGGGAAGCAUGGUGUCUGGAAUGGAGGCUGAUCCAAGAUCCUUGGUCCGAAAUAUUGUGUUUCUGUGUUUGUUGCCAAGGAUCUCGGACCAGGCUUCAUUCCUCACACCGAGCUUCCGCUGCGAGAUUGUGUUUC
This is a non-coding RNA of Brachypodium distachyon (stiff brome), 145 nucleotides long. RefSeq annotates it as microRNA MIR166f. The transcript has a single exon. Lineage: Eukaryota; Viridiplantae; Streptophyta; Magnoliopsida; Poales; Poaceae. The record is from RefSeq and is marked provisional.